RNAcentral lists this ribosomal RNA (481 nucleotides) under uncultured bacterium. RNAcentral describes it as "partial 16S ribosomal RNA". It matches the Rfam family "Bacterial small subunit ribosomal RNA", at positions 31 to 507 of the family's 1533-position model. The record is from RNAcentral.
GAACGCUAGCGGGAUGCUUUACACAUGCAAGUCGAACGGCAGCGCGGACUUCGGUCUGGCGGCGAGUGGCGAACGGGUGAGUAAUGUAUCGGAACGUGCCCAGUAGCGGGGGAUAACUACGCGAAAGCGUAGCUAAUACCGCAUACGCCCUACGGGGGAAAGCAGGGGAUCGUAAGACCUUGCACUAUUGGAGCGGCCGAUAUCGGAUUAGCUAGUUGGUGAGGUAACGGCUCACCAAGGCGACGAUCCGUAGCUGGUUUGAGAGGACGACCAGCCACACUGGGACUGAGACACGGCCCAGACUCCUACGGGAGGCAGCAGUGGGGAAUUUUGGACAAUGGGGGCAACCCUGAUCCAGCCAUCCCGCGUGUGCGAUGAAGGCCUUCGGGUUGUAAAGCACUUUUGGCAGGAAAGAAACGUCGCGGGCUAAUACCCCGUGGAACUGACGGUACCUGCAGAAUAAGCACCGGCUAACUACGUG